AGGACGAACGCUGGCGGCGUGCUUAACACAUGCAAGUCGAGCGGAAAGGCCCUUCGGGGUACUCGAGCGGCGAACGGGUGAGUAACACGUGAGUAAUCUGCCCCUAGCUCUGGGAUAGCUCCGGGAAACCGGGAUUAAUACCAGAUAUGACCACUUUAGACAUCUGCUGUGGUGGAAAGAAUUUCGGCUAGGGAUGAGCUCGCGGCCUAUCAGCUUGUUGGUGGGGUAAUGGCCUACCAAGGCGACGACGGGUA
RNAcentral lists this ribosomal RNA (254 nucleotides) under uncultured bacterium. RNAcentral describes it as "partial small subunit ribosomal RNA". It matches the Rfam family "Bacterial small subunit ribosomal RNA", at positions 26 to 285 of the family's 1533-position model. The record is from RNAcentral.